Molecule: ribosomal RNA, 465 nt
Filed under: uncultured bacterium
Lineage: Bacteria
Description: partial 16S ribosomal RNA
Rfam family: Bacterial small subunit ribosomal RNA
Source: RNAcentral
CUACGGGUGGCAGCAGUGGGGAAUAUUGGACAAUGGGGGAAACCCUGAUCCAGCAAUGCCGCGUGUGUGAAGAAGGCCUGCGGGUUGUAAAGCACUUUCGGUUGGGAGGACUGCUUCUAGCACUAAUAUUGUUGGAAGUUGACGUUACCUUCAGAAGAAGCACCGGCUAACUCCGUGCCAGCAGCCGCGGUAAUACGGAGGGUGCAAGCGUAAAUCGGAAUCACUGGGCGUAAAGCGCGCGUAGGCGGCUAGAUCAGUCGGGUGUGAAAGCCCCGGGCUUAACCUGGGAACUGCAUCCGAUACUGUCUAGCUUGAGUACAGGAGAGGAGAGUGGAAUUCCACAUGUAGCGGUGAAAUGCGUAGAUAUGUGGAGGAACACCAAUGGCGAAGGCAGCUCUCUGGCCUGAUACUGACGCUGUGGUGCGAAAGCGUGGGGAGCAAACAGGAUUAGAUACCCCGGUAGUC